UACGGAGGGUGCGAGCGUUGUCCGGAAUCACUGGGCGUAAAGGGCGCGUAGGCGGCCUGAUAAGUCGGGGGUGAAAUCCUGAGGCUUAACCUCAGGGCUGCCUUCUAAACUGUCAGGCUCGAGCACAGUAGAGGCAGGUGGAAUUCCCGGUGUAGCGGUGAAAUGCGUAGAUAUCUGGAGGAAUACCGGUGGCGAAGGCGGCAUCCUGGACCGACAUUGACGCUGAUGAGCGAAAGCUAGGGGAGCAAACGGG
This 253-nucleotide ribosomal RNA is filed under the name uncultured bacterium. RNAcentral's name for it is "partial 16S ribosomal RNA". It matches the Rfam family "Bacterial small subunit ribosomal RNA", at positions 524 to 776 of the family's 1533-position model. The record is from RNAcentral.